UGGGCUUAGCAAAUACUUUUGACAACUAUUUGUAAAAUGUAAACUAGAGGCUCUCAAGAGCCUGUGUCGCUCACCUGUAUUUACUGAUGCCUUGAAAAUCAUGCAAAAUAAGGUUGAAUCAUAAUUAAUAGUGUUAGAUAUUAUAAUAUACUAUAACGAUAUCUAGGAUAAUAAAAAAAAAAACUGCAAAAUUUCCGUAAAAUCACUAAGUCAGGGGCAGCAACCCAACAACGGGUUGUAGGACUCGUCUGAAAAUUUCAGGGCAGAUAAAUCUAAAGUUAAUGAACAUUUUUGCAACCAGUCAGAUUUGAUCUUAAUACUUCAGAGAUAUAAACCAAAAACUGCAUUUUAUGUUCUUUCUUUUUUAUCCAUGUCUUCCAUGUUGGUUGUAUAGCAGGGUCAUCGAACAAAUUUUUAAAACUAUAUACCCUAAUGAUAAUUAUGGCCAAGUUUGGUUAAAUUUGUCUCAGUAGAUUCAGAGAAGAAUAUUUUUGUAGAGAUUACAAAAAUGUACGAAAAAUUGUUAAAAAAAGACUAUAAAGGGCAAUAACUCCCUAAGGUGUCGACUGACAAUUUUGGUCAUUUGUCAUGCCUAACAUAAUCCUCCACUUAAUCCAUCAUUUUUGGGAAAUUGUGUUUCCAAAAC
This 646-nucleotide long non-coding RNA is filed under the name Mytilus galloprovincialis (Mediterranean mussel). Lineage: Eukaryota; Metazoa; Mollusca; Bivalvia; Mytilida; Mytilidae. The record is from RNAcentral.